RNAcentral lists this small nuclear RNA (107 nucleotides) under Salvator merianae (Argentine black and white tegu). The record is from RNAcentral. Lineage: Eukaryota; Metazoa; Chordata; Lepidosauria; Squamata; Teiidae.
GUGCUCACUUUGGCAGCACAUAUACUAAAAUUUAAAUAACGCAAAGAAGAUUAGCAUACCCUCUGCACAAGGAUGACACAGAAAUUUGUGAAACAUUUUACUCACAA